AAUACGACUCUCGGCAACGGAUAUCUCGGCUCUCGCAUCGAUGAAGAACGUAGCAAAAUGCGAUACCUGGUGUGAAUUGCAGAAUCCCGCGAACCAUCGAGUUUUUGAACGCAAGUUGCGCCCGAGGCCUUCUGGUUGAGGGCACGCCUGCCUGGGCGUCACGCCAA
Molecule: ribosomal RNA, 167 nt
Filed under: Melinis repens
Lineage: Eukaryota; Viridiplantae; Streptophyta; Magnoliopsida; Poales; Poaceae
Description: 5.8S ribosomal RNA
Rfam family: 5.8S ribosomal RNA
About the family: 5.8S ribosomal RNA (5.8S rRNA) is a component of the large subunit of the eukaryotic ribosome. It is transcribed by RNA polymerase I as part of the 45S precursor that also contains 18S and 28S rRNA.
Source: RNAcentral